UAGAAUGGACGGUGACAUUGCGCCUGUCAACCACACAACUGAGGAAGCCUUGUAAUUGUAGAUGCUACACAAACUGUUGUGAGCAGUUUUGAUCAUAGGAUUCGUUGGACAGUGUAUUGACAGCUGAGUUUCAUGUCUGAACUCAAGACAGAUUCCUGUAACUUUUGAACCUAAACAACAAAAUGCUCCACUGGCCCAAACCCAUAUCCGGAAUCACUUAAAAGUUAAAUUAUUGUCGCUCACCUACUUAGGCCUGUUCAAAAAAAUUAACAACCCGCACCCGCCCGAUAAAUCCAUCCGACCCCACCCGUUAAAUGCGGGUUCAACUGGACAACGGGUUGGAAAUCAUCCAACCCGCUGUUUAACGGGCGAAACAGCAGCCCGAGACUUUAUCGUCCAUUCCAAACUUUGGAAUCCAAAGUUCAAACAUCCAAACCUAGACCUCUCUCUCUCUCUUUAUCUCUCUCCUUCCUCGUUCACGCCUGCAGAAACCGAGUCUCUCUCUCUCCUCGAUCGCGCCUCCAAGCAACCGAGUACUCCAAGCAAACACUUCAGCCCUAGCCAGUGGCGUCCGUUCUCUGUCGCCGUCUCCAUCGGCGUUCUCCGUCGCUGUUCGUCAUCACCGUCGGCCGCAGCUCCAAGAUCAAGUCGAUUUGCUGAGAUUUAGGUCAUGGCUUUGUGGAAGAGACUGUGGCAGAAUGAUUUUGGGCCCUUCAUUGGGUGCCUUAUCCAUGCGAGGCUUUACAGAUCCAAGGUGGACCUAAGCAAGCUCAGGCCAAUGAUUCUAAAACGAAUCGAGAGCCGGGCCAAGGAAUACCCGGUGCGCGGCAUGGUGCCGGUCGCCCAGGAGGUCCUUAAGGCUCGAUCAGUCCUCUUCCAUGGCGUGUCCACUCUUCUCAAAGUCUUUCCCAUCAUGGCGUGCAAGGGACAUGAAUCCGUGACCCAACCACCAAUCCAUUAUUGUUCUGUCUGGAAGUAUAUAUUGGUGAGAAAGGUCACUUAAUUCAGACUUGCCACGGUUAUAAGCGUCGUGCCAAGAAUCGUGUUCAUGAAUGGAUUAGUGGUGGUGUGAAUGAUAUACUUGUUCCAGUAGAAACAUUCCAUCUACAGAACAUGUUCCAAGACGUUAUUAAACACCACCAGAGGUUUGAUUUUGACCGUGUUCCUGCAGUUGUUGAACUGUGCUUGCAGGCUGGAGCUUAUCCUAAUGAUGAAAAUCUAUACUCCAGCAGUACGAUUGAAUGUGUACCUGCUGGAAUUGAAGGAGCGGACUCAUUGUCGCCUCAUGAACUAAUGAUGGUUGCCAAUAGAACCUUCAAAGCAUGGGAGAUGCUCAGAAGUGGUGUACUGAAGUUGUUGUUGGUUUAUCCGGCAAAAGUCUGUAAAUACUGUUCAGAAGUCCAUGUUGGGCCAUCUGGGCACAAGGCUAGGCUUUGUGGAGUAUUCAAGUAUGAGAGUUGGCGGGGAGGCCACUUUUGGAAGAAAGCAGAAGUAGAUGAUUUGGUACCUCCUAAGAUUGUAUGGAGGCGGCGGCCUCAGGAUCCUCCUGUCCUUCUGGAUGCCCAUAGAGACUUUUAUGGCCAUGCACCAGCAGUGGUGGAUCUGUGCGCGCAGGCUGGCGUUAUUGUACCAACCAAGUAUAAUUGUGCGAUGAAAGUGCAAGGUUUAUCAGGACCUGUUCAACUCAAAGUUUGAAGCAUGAUAUAAGUUGAAUUCUUAGCGGGUUGGCUUCAGGGAACUUGAUCUGUACAUUGGGUAUAGCUCAAUCCACCCGGAGAGUGACAUUUUGGGUCUCUCAUAAAAGGUUUAUUGGUAUGCACUUUUGCUUCCAGCAACAAAUUUUGUUAGCAUGGCCUCUAACCGAACAAGAAAUAGAAUAAUAGUUUUGAAUGAACCCAUAUAUGGUUUAAUUGUUAUGUUUGUACAUUUUUCUUGGUAUGGAUUUGAUAAAUAUUAUCCACUGAUUUGCGAACCCCAAGUCCAUGUAAUGGAUGGUCUCCAAACAUAGCCACAACAGGACGUAGAGGUCUGCUUACAUCCGAUGAUAAAGAGUCAACCUAAGAGGCCUAGAAUGUUGAGAAGAAGAGCUACUGAUGAACAACCUAUGGCAAUUGUUAAGGUACAUCCCACAAUGGUAUACAUGAAUGUCCUGUACCUAUAAAAUCCUAAUGCAAGGGUGUCGCCUAAAAGAAUGAAGAGGCCAAAGCAACAUUGCAUGUGAUUAAACCAACUUCUUCCCAGCCUAUGGAGCAAACCCAGGCUUUAGCUACUUCAACACAGUAGCUCAGGCAUGUAAGUGCACCACAACCUAUGGAAUGCUACCCAUGGGUUAAAGCUAAGAUCAACAUGGGCAAUGAUUAUCUAUGAGCAAUCUAGUAGUGGUUUUGUUCUAGGAAGGUUAUUUUUGAAUUAUUGGAAUAGAUUGCAACAAAAGAGUAAGCACUAUUGGUGCUUUUUUUUUUUUUUUUUAAAAGAUGGAGUAGUGAUGCUAGUUGAACAAUGGCCGGGGUACUUGAUAAUGCAUUUUUUGAUGGUUGCCUUUUUGCUUGAUGGAAAUGUGAAGUUUAUUUGAACAAUGUGAUGUAAUAAUGCACUGUGUGUCAUGUUUGUCUUUUUUGUAUAUAAAUGAAGUCUGCGAUGAUUGCAUCUU
This is an RNA transcript of Juglans regia (Persian walnut), 2650 nucleotides long. It is a transcript of the gene named APO protein 4, mitochondrial-like, with no coding region annotated. The transcript is spliced from 7 exons. Lineage: Eukaryota; Viridiplantae; Streptophyta; Magnoliopsida; Fagales; Juglandaceae. The record is from RefSeq and is a predicted model, not a curated record.